Molecule: ribosomal RNA, 253 nt
Filed under: uncultured Lachnospiraceae bacterium
Lineage: Bacteria; Bacillati; Bacillota; Clostridia; Lachnospirales; Lachnospiraceae
Description: partial 16S ribosomal RNA
Rfam family: Bacterial small subunit ribosomal RNA
Source: RNAcentral
UACGGAGGGGGCAAGCGUUAUCCGGAGUUACUGGGUGUAAAGGGAGCGUAGACGGCUGUGCAAGUCUGGAGUGAAAGGCAUGGGCUCAACCUGUGGACUGCUUUGGAAACUGUGCGGCUUGAGUGUCGGAGAGGCAAGUGGAAUUCCUAGUGUAGCGGUGAAAUGCGUAGAUAUCACGCAGAACUCCGAUUGCGAAGGCAGCUUACUAAGCCAUAACUGACACUGAAGCACGAAAGCGUGGGGAUCAAACAGG